AUCUAAAUAGUUUAAGUUAAAAUAUUAGUUUGUGGAAUUAAUGAUAUAUUUUAUAUUUUAGAUA
RNAcentral lists this transfer RNA (64 nucleotides) under Rhopalapion longirostre. Its description in RNAcentral is "tRNA-His". The record is from RNAcentral. Lineage: Eukaryota; Metazoa; Arthropoda; Insecta; Coleoptera; Brentidae.